Molecule: non-coding RNA, 348 nt
Filed under: Filifactor alocis
Lineage: Bacteria; Bacillati; Bacillota; Clostridia; Peptostreptococcales; Filifactoraceae
Description: T-box sequence
Rfam family: T-box leader
About the family: Uncharged tRNA acts as the effector for transcription antitermination of genes in the T-box leader family.
Source: RNAcentral
UUUUUGGCUAUGACGAAAAGCAGUAAAAACAAAGUUCUUUUCAGAAAGCAGAUGGUUGAUGUGAAUUUGCAUGAAUUUGUUUUGAAUCCGUUUCCGAGCUGAUUUGAAGAAAAAUUUUUUGAGAGAAUUUCUUUCACUGUGUAGGAGUUGUAUCUGUCGAAGACGUUCUCACAAUAUCAAUGUUGUAUUGGAUGUUGUGUAUUUCAUGAAAGUCAGGUCGAUUUGAUAAAAACUGCUCCCUCUCAAAAAUAAAGUAUUUAAGUCCGGAUAAUCUCGUUAUCGAUUUUGAGCGAACGGUUUUUGCCGUUAAGUCGGGUGGCACCGCGGAGUUGUAUCUUCGUCCCUUUC